This 6705-nucleotide long non-coding RNA is filed under the name Nicotiana benthamiana. RNAcentral describes it as "long non-coding RNA (NBEN_LNC038428)". The record is from RNAcentral. Lineage: Eukaryota; Viridiplantae; Streptophyta; Magnoliopsida; Solanales; Solanaceae.
AAAAUUGUAAGAAGAGUUACUUUUUUGGUUUCUGCAAAUAUUGAUUCUUUUUCUUUCUUUUUUGGUGUUUGGUUGAAAACAAUCUUUGCAAAACAUUUUUUUUCCUAAAACAAGUAUUUCAAAGCGUUAUAAGGCCAACCUUUUCUCUUUAUUUUAUUGAUUAAAUUCCCAUCAUGUUAAAUUUUACCCUCCUCAAUGUCCCAAAUACGGUGAAAAAAAUCUCAAUUGUGAAAGUGUCUUUGCUCUUAUGUGUAUGCAUUUAUCUUUGUGUCUAUUGAUAAUAGUGCAUUUUCUUUCCUCCAGAGAGUUCCAUUUCUCCAUCUUGUGCUAUUGUAUCUUAUGUUUGUGCCACCAUGGGCUAAUGAAAAGCUCGAAGUACUGCUGGGCUUCAAACGAUGGAAAGAAAGAAAGAUAUCAGUUGUAAAAUUGCAAAAAGUUUGAAAUUUGGUUGCACAUUUGUUUAUUUUGUUUUCUCAUCUCCUGAAUAGUGAAUAUAAUUAAAAAUUACCUAUCCUACAUGUCUAUCCGUGUUGGUGCAGGACAGUUGAAAGUACUGAACUUCCUUCAUUGCAUGCAUGGUCAUAGUGUGUACUUGCAUUUUUUUAAAAAUAAAUAAAUAUAAUUUACCCAGUCUUUUUCAUAUCUUCCUUAUAGCUGACCCCAAGUUAUUUGGGUUCAAAUGUAGUUAAUGAUUGAUGUCAUAUCCGCCAACAUGCAAAAGAGCUAACAUAAAUAUCGGCCUGCAGGCACUAUUGGCGACCUUCUGUUUAUUUGUUGGAUGAGAAGAUCUAGAUCACAAUAAAAUCAUGACAGAGAAUACUGAAAUUGAUGACCGCGUGGAUCUUGAUGACGAAAAUUACUCUGAGGAAGAUGAAGAUCCAGAAUUGAUAGAAGAUGACGGAGCUGGAGAAGACGGCGAUGAAAACGGUGAAGAGCAAUCAUAUGAUUCCGGAGGUGGGGAUAGUGGGAGAGCAGAGUCUCCAGAAGCAGAUCGAGGAAGAUGAAGAUCCAGAACUGAUAGAAGAUGACGGAGCUGGAGAAGACGGCGAUGAAAACGGUGAAGAGCAAUCAUAUGAUUCCGGAGGUGGGGAUAGUGGGAGAGCAGAGUCUCCAGAAGCAGAUAUGCGUGACGUUCCGGAGCCUGCUACUGAUGAAGAAAAGCCUAGUGCUUCUCUUACUGAAGAAGACAAAAAAGAGCACGCUGAACUUCUUGCUCUCCCUCCGCACGGGUCUGAGGUUUUCAUUGGUGGGAUUCCUCGAGAUGUUUCUGAUGAAGACUUGAGGGAUCUCUGCGAACCAUUCGGCGAAAUACAUGAGGUCAGUUCUGAUUGAUAGAGCUGGAAGUAAUCUGAACGCUACGCCAAACAGGCAUAUGUUUUUGACAGACUUAAAUGUCUUUGCUUUUCCUUAAUUUGUGUAAUCGUGUCCUAUCUUUGCAGGUCAGGAUCAUGAGAAAUAAGGAUACUGGUGAAAGCAAGGGCUUUGCCUUUGUAGCCUUCACAACAAAAGAUGAGGCACAAAAGGCUAUUGAAGAAUUACAUAGCAAAGAAUUCAAGGUGAUUUCUGCAUUUCUGCACUUGGCUUCAUUCGUUUUAGAUUUUUCAUUAACUAUCGUCUCUUUUAGUGAGUGCAUGAUUUGGUAGUUUCUUCAAAUUUGGCUUCAUUCAUUUUAGAUUUUUCAUUAACUGUAUCGUCUCUUUUAGUGAGUGCAUGAUUUGGUAGUUUCUUUGUUUGUUCUGUGUUUAUUAUCAACCCAGGGAAAAACCAUAAGGUGUUCACUGUCAGAAACUAAAUACAGAUUGUUCAUUGGUAAUGUACCAAAGAGCUGGUCUGAUGAUGACUUCAGAAAAGUCAUUGAAGGGACUGGCCCUGGUGCAGAAACAAUAGAACUCAUAAAGGUGUGGUUUUAUGUUUCAAACAUUCUAUAAAUUGUUCUGACUCUGUCAUUGGCAACUUAUGGACAAUUUGUAAACUUCUAAUAUUUGAUUGAAGGAUCCUCAAAACCCAGCACGUAAUAGGGGUUUUGCUUUCAUUGAAUAUUACAAUAAUGCCUGUGCGGAUUACUCGCGGAAAAAAAUGGCAAGUGCAAACUUUAAGCUGGAGGGAAAUUCGCCAACUGUCACCUGGGCUGAUCCAAAGAUUACACCUGAUCAUUCUGCUGCCGCUGCUCAGGUAUCAAACCUUAUAUCAUAAUUGAGUAUGAGCUUCUAGGAGAUCUUAAGCGAGUUCCAUUUGAUAUGUUUUGUGAUCUUUUGUUGUUUCUCUUAGAUUCUAAUGUUUCCUGCUUGAUCUUUAUUGUUACUUUGCAGCUUGCACCUUUACCAAAUGAUCUCCCUUAUGCUUUUCCCUUUUGUGGGUCUAUGAGUUUUUCUCUCCAAUUGUUAUCCUGUUGGCUUGAAUACAGUACGUUACGGGUUCUGAUCCACCCGAUGUAUUCCUGAUUAAACUUGUUUUCUUCUUUCUUUGUUUACUGCUUGUAGGUCUGUCUAGCUGUGGGAAGGGGGAUUGGAUGGUUCUUGUAAUGUAUCUAUUAAACUUCUCAACUUGAUGUUAUCAUUUAUUGGGGCUGCUUUUGAGUUAAGAGCCAGGAACUGCGCUGAUACCUUAAACUUUUUAGUUCUCUAGGCGUAUUGAAACAAUGAGCUUGGGGCAGAGUUGUGGUGGAUAGUUUCACUGCUGAAAUUAUACUGACUGUAAUUCUGUUGGGACCAACUAAGGCUCGUAAACCUAGUGUCCCUGCUGAAGGUACUCUGAGUUGAUUCUGGAAUAGUCGUGGUAGUUUGUGCGAGAUUGCAUGUACACUACCAUUAUCGCCAAAAAGAAGAAAAAGGAUUAGUGAUAGCGAACUAAGUCACUUAUCGAUAUGAUGUUAGAUUUUGUGAUGUAUUGUUCGAUCCAUGGUAUCAAUGGACUGAUUGGAGAUUCGCCUCUGUGAAACAGUGAAACCUUUUCCCUUAACAUCCUUCUGCUAGUUUGAACAUUGAUUAUAUAUUUUUCGUUGUCUUUUCCAGGUUAAAGCACUUUAUGUGAAAAGCAUUCCAGAAAACACAUCUACUGAACAGUUGAAGGAAAUUUUCCAACGCCAUGGUGAUGUUACCAAAGUAGUUAUGCCGCCAGCCAAAAGUGGUGGCAAACGAGACUUUGGAUUUGUCCAUUAUGCAGAAAGGUCAAGUGCACUGAAGGCUGUUAAAGAUGGUGAAACAUAUGAAGUUAAUGGUAAUGCUUCUGGACUCAUGAAUACAAGUGGAACACAUACAUUGCAUAAAGGGAACUCUCAGGAUCUACAUCUGAGUGUUCCGUCGGCCCCUCCUUCAAAUCACUCCCCCCUCACUGGAAAAAGGAAAGAAACGAAAAGAAAAAUAAAUCAGGAGAAUAGAGGUAGGAAGUGUGAAGGGGGUGUGUUUUGGGGGGAGGAGAGAGAUCCUUAAAUUUAGUAAUUUUGAUUUUAAAUCUCUAGAAUUGUCAGCGGGUCCAUAUCUAAUUCUUUUUAUUCUUGCAGCUAGGGUAAAAAGUCAUUAUUAUGCCUUUGAAGGGGUUAUCUGGGACCCAUAAAGACCCAACACCCCCCCCCCCCCCCCCCCNNNNNNNNNNNNNNNNNNNNNNNNNNNNNNNNNNNNNNNNNNNNNNNNNNNNNNNNNNNNNNNNNNNNNNNNNNNNNNNNNNNNNNNNNNNNNNNNNNNNNNNNCCCCCCCCCCCACACACACACACAAAAAAACCAAAAAGAAAGGGAAGAAGCAAAGAAAAUGGGAAAAUUGUGGUUUGUACAUUCUCAAAGCAUGCCUAAAGUGAAAUAAAUCACAAUAAGUAUGAAUGUGCUUGAGAUAUGGUUUUUUUCUUCAAAAAUCCUUUAUUGAACUGAACGACAACAACAAACCUAGUGUAAUCCCACAAGGUGGGGUCUGGGGAAUGUAUAGUAUAGCAGACCAUAUCCCUACCUUUAUUGAUCUGAGAAUUCUCAUUUGUAUAUGAGUUCAAGGAUGAGUUUAGGAGCUUGUAGCACCAGCCGAGACCUUGUGUUGAACAAUUCUUAGUUUGUUUUGGUAUUUACCUAGGAUUUACUCAGCCAUACUUGGAAAAUUUAAUAAUGAAACUCUUAUCUACAUGACAUGUUCUAUUAUGUCAUACUGUAGAAAGAUUUGUCUUGAAUUUAGGAGGAUAUCAUAAAGAGAUUACAAGGAAGAAAUGCAGAAAAGCGUUGUCAGGAGUGUGAUGCCUAUUUUGUUUUUGAAUCAUAGCAAACUGACCGAUGGUUGAAACAUUUGUAGAUAUAGCCCAUAUUUAGAUCAACUUUCGUCCUGUUUAAUUAUUCCAUGACUUUGAGACAAUAAUUUCAGAGUUUAAACUGUACUAUGCUAAGGUCAACUUAAUUCAGCUGUCAGAAAUCUGACGCAUUUGUUUUUAUCAAAGCAAGCUGAUCAUCUGGAUAUGGGCCAUUUUUGUAUCAGCUCUCAUCCUCUGUAAUUUCUCUUUUCAAGAUUUUGAAACAAGUAUUACGGUUUGGAAUGAACCAAAAAUAAGAUCAGCUUAGUCCAUUGUGAUUGAGAUGCCCGUUUUCCCCCAUAUGACCCUGGAGUGAAAGCAAUCUAUAUUCAACCCCCUUUUUAUCAACUCUCACCCCUCUAAAUGUUUUCUUUCUAUAUGUUGAAACAAUAAUUUUCAAAUAUUGGACUGUAUCAUGCUAUGAUCGACCCAAUCCCAUUUUGAUGAUGCCUAUUUUGUUUUGAAUCAAAGCGAUCAAAUAUGGGACUGUAUCAAGCUAUGAUCUACCCAAUCCCAUUUUGAUGAUGCCUAUUUUGUUUUUGAAUCAAAGGAACUGACCUUGAGGUGAAAGUUCUAGAUAUGUUCCAGUUUUGAAUCAACUCUCUUCCGUGUAUGCCCUCCCUUUUUCCCUUUCAAGAUUGUGAAUCAAGUUUCAUAGAUUGGGCUGUACUGAAACUAAAGAUCAACUUAGUUCAGGUGUUAGAAGUGUGACGUGUGUUUUUUGCUUUUAGUUAAGCGUAAAACUGAUUCAUCUAUCAUACAAAUACUUUGUCAAAGAUCAGUUUAGUUCAACUGCAGUCAAGUAGGACCCUUAAUUAGAUUAAAGUAAUAUGUGUCAUAUAGUGAAAAGGAUUUGAUAUAUUGGAAGGGAUACAGAAGAUUUAUAUGGUUGUCAUGAUUAUGUGGUGGUUGCCUGUGAUAUGUCCCUCUCUUUUAGACAAAAAUUCAUACUACAAGACAAUCUUCCAACAAAAGAAUCUUUUUUUGGUGGAGAAGUAAAAAGAAUUUUAUUGAUGAUAACCUGCAAAUAGAGAAUGGGUGCUGUAGGGACAACAGAAUCGAUGUCUCAUAUUUUUUUAUUUUUUGCCUUUUUUGAGUUUGAAACUUCCAAGAAGUUCGUCCUCUGUUUUGCCGAGCUAGAACUGGAUAUGAAUACUGUCCUAUGGCCUCCUCCUUCCCACUUGUUGGGAUCAAGCUGAGUUUUUUUUUUUUUUUUUUUUUUUUUUUUUGAAAAUUCCGUAAUUCGAAGGCGUCUCUAGGGGAAACUAAUUUUCAAUUUUUUGUUUUUAUUAAAUUUCAUGGACAAACAUAUUUGAAAAAGAAGAAGAAGACGACGACAUUAUGGACAAAUGGGGCCGAAGUACUAUUAGGGUGAGAUUUGUAAGCUUCACUAUUUAAGUACGGGAUUUAAUUAAUUUUGUUUUUAAAGGUUACCGGGUUUAAGUGUAACUAUAUGAUGCAAUGCCAAACUCUAUUAUGUACGAUUAUUUUUCACUAUCAUAUUCUAAAUCACUUUUUUUUUUUUUUUUUUUUUUUUUUUGUUGUUGUUGUUGUUGUUGUUGUAUGGCCUCCUCCUGGGGUUUUCUGCUUUAUCAAUUUAUACUUCUCUCCUUACAGACAAGUAGCCUUUGCGGCGCUGGUUAGGUUAUUCUGAUUUAUCUCAUCCAACCUGAGAAAAAGGCGCUUUACUCAAUUUCUUUCCGAGAAGCUAUCCUAAAUGAAAGAUGAUUCAACCUACGAACUUUUGUUUUACAAAGAUCACUUUUAACCUUGUGAAAAAUAAUUGAACCUCCCAUUACAUUUAUGCUUUACUAGAUGUUCCAGGUAGUUAUCUUUAUUUGUUAUGCAAAACUCAUUUUUAUACUUAUAAGUACAAAUGCUUUUAUUUAGUACAAGGAAUCAGAGACGGUGAGACCAAUCAUUAGUUCAUUGGGCACCCUCCAUUUACCGUCAACUUAUCAUCUUCAAUAUUUGUUUGUUUUAGAAAAGGAAAAACCAAUUACCAUGAUAUUGAUGCUUUAUUGCAUUUUUAUUGAAAAUUGCUAAAGACAGGCGAAACUGCUACUUUGGAAUAUGUCAAUAUUUUUCCCGAGUUUUUGUUAGCACCACAUCGUUGUAUAUUAAUAGGCAAAUGGGAGAAAAAACUAAAAUUGUAAGAAACUCUACAUCCUAUCACUUUUACCUCAAUUUAUUCUUUGCUGAGUUUGAACAGCUGAAGCAAUAACACUCCAACAUCAUUGAAAUACUAUAGCAAUAGUCAUUCCACAAUUGAGUUUAAUUUCAUUGAGCUACCAGUUUGUUCAUUUUGAAGGCAAGUUAUAUAGUGCUUUAGUAUUUCAAAUUACUUCAGGCCUGUUUACGCAUGAAUCAAUAUUUUGAUAUUGCAAAUUCUAGACUUCAAUAUUUGCAAAAAUAAUUGAGAAUGAGUAUUUGCAAAUACUUCUU